This 1488-nucleotide unclassified non-coding RNA is filed under the name Caenorhabditis elegans. RNAcentral's name for it is "Non-coding transcript of protein-coding gene bre-3". Lineage: Eukaryota; Metazoa; Nematoda; Chromadorea; Rhabditida; Rhabditidae. The record is from RNAcentral.
AUUCCUCAACUCCUAUUACUCAACUCUUUGCUGCUUUUUCAAUAAAGCAUUUCUACUGCUUGGACAUUUUACAAUCAUACAGGAAUAGAGGUAAUGAACUGCGAGGUGAAGCAUGCGCUGCACUGCGCCGUACUAGUGGCGUGGAUCGUAUGUUUUGCCUACUUCUGCGGCGUGUUCACGGAGCCGGUAGAAGGAUCCGUUCCAGAAAGUCCAGUUGCAAGCUACGGACUCAUUUGGACAGUAUGCUUGUACUUACUCCGAUUCACUGCUCUUCUCGUCUUGCCACAAUGUCUUUGCAAUCUUGGCGGGUUGAUGAUGUUCAAUGCAUUUAGAGAAAAAGUCCAACUGAAGGCAGCACCUCUUCUCUCACCAUUUGUCUGUUUCCGGGUUGUAACCAAAGGAAACUUUCCGCUUCUCGUUAAGGAGAACAUUGAUACGAACAUGAAGACAUGCUUUGAAGCUGGAAUGGAAAACUUCAUUUUUGAAGUUGUCACCGACAAGGCCAUCAAUUUACCACCAAAUCCAAGAGUCCGAGAAGUCGUCGUUCCAACUGUAUACAAAACAAAAAGUGGUGCCAAGUUCAAGGCUCGUGCUCUUCAAUAUUGCCUGGAAGACGAUGUGAAUAUUCUUCAGCCAACUGAUUGGAUUGUUCAUCUCGACGAAGAAACACUGCUGACAACGAACGCAAUCUGUGGGAUUCUCAAUUUCUGCGAAGACGGAAAACAUCAAUUUGGACAAGGAGUCAUCACGUAUGCAAACGGAGACAUUGUUAACUGGCUGACAACUCUUAGUGAUUCGUUCAGAGUUGCUGAUGAUAUGGGGAAGCUGAGAUUCCAGUUCAAAUUGUUCCAUAAACCACUUUUCGGAUGGAAAGGAUCUUAUGUGGUGACACAAGUCGAAGCAGAAAGAGAUGUUUCUUAUGAUCAUGGAAUGGAAGGAUCGAUUGCUGAGGAUUGUUUCUUUUCGAUGGUUGCAAUGAAACACGGCUACUCGUUUGAUUUUAUUGAAGGAGAAAUGCACGAGAAGAGCCCAUUCACUAUGUGGGACUUUUUGCAACAAAGAAAACGCUGGCUCCAAGGAAUUUUACUCACUGUUCACUCGUCGAAAAUUGCUGUUGUUCAUAAAGCACUUCUUGCUCUGUCAUUGUAUGCCUGGGCCACAAUGCCAUUAACUUCACUUCAAGUAUUCCUCUGUCCACUAUUUCCACUUCCAAGGUGUCUUCCAUUCGAUUUCCUGCUCUCGUUUGUCGGUGCUCUCAAUCUCUACAUGUACAUUUUCGGAGUUGUCAAAUCGUUUUCUCACAAAUAUCGUAAUAGUUUGCUCCGUCUUGCGAUGUAUCUCGCUGGAGCACUGAUGACUAUUCCAUUCAACAUACUUAUCGAGAAUGCAGCUGUUCUUGUUGGAAUGUUUGGACGGAAGGAUCAAUUCUAUAUCGUUAACAAAGAUAUUCAAACUGUAUAAUACUGAAUUAGUACAAACACGAUCUGA